GGGUGCGCGAGCAGAGGCAGCUCGGACAACGGCGGCGGCAUGCAGAAGCAGCAGCAGGCGAGCAACGGCGGGGGUGUUGCCGCCAGGUUUUCUGGCGCCGGUGGCAAUGGCGUUGCUGCGACGAACAAGGUAAUCGAUCGAUCGAUCAAGUAGCAUGCAUGCAUGCACGCCACCCCAUCAGCGUUUUCCUUCAUAUGUUGAAACAUUGCUCAACAAAAAUUAAGAUUGGCUUUGUUCGCUACGAGCAGUCAAGCCAAUGCAAGAACUUUAGGGAUAGCAGUGUAAGCUAUGCAUCUGCAGCAGCAAAGGUUGAUUCAUCAGGGGAAGAAGAGAAACAAGAUUGAGCAAGCUACGGCUUGUUUGAUAUAGCCGCCAAACCUUGGUGCAACAUGCGUGAUUGGUUUCCCAUAAAAAAACAUGUGAUUGGUUCGCACCGGGACCUGUCUAUCAAACUUUAUAGCAUUGGCUCGAUGCCAGUUUGUGAUAAACAGGCCCUGGUUGAAUGCCGAUUAUGUCGCCAGAAACACUGGGAAACCAGACAAUCAAUAAAACUGUUAUCUGGGGAUGUGUUCUGUCA
Sorghum bicolor (sorghum) is the source of this 577-nucleotide long non-coding RNA. RefSeq lists it as uncharacterized. NCBI's taxonomy places the organism in Eukaryota, Viridiplantae, Streptophyta, Magnoliopsida, Poales, Poaceae. The transcript is spliced from 2 exons. The record is from RefSeq and is a predicted model, not a curated record.